Molecule: transfer RNA, 361 nt
Filed under: uncultured Microcystis sp.
Lineage: Bacteria; Bacillati; Cyanobacteriota; Cyanophyceae; Chroococcales; Microcystaceae
Description: partial 16S-23S ribosomal RNA intergenic spacer
Rfam family: tRNA (bases 136-209)
Source: RNAcentral
AAAGGGAGACCUAAUUCGGGUAUGGGAUGAAAAAAAAGUAGUCCCAACCAAGAAUCAAUCCCAAAAGGUCGGAGCGAGGCGAAAUUGGCUUUCAAACUAGGUUCUGGGUUCACAGAAGACCUGAAUCAGGAACAAGGGCUAUUAGCUCAGGUGGUUAGAGCGCACCCCUGAUAAGGGUGAGGUCCCUGGUUCGAGUCCAGGAUGGCCCACCUGCACAGGUGGUAAAAACAAGAGAAGCGAGGAAUCAGCACCUUAUCUUACUUACAUAGUAAGAGAGAAUGCUGGCUCUGAGUAAAGAGUCCAGAGGAACCUUGAAAACUGCAUAGAGCUAGGUGAAAAGGCCAAAAAAGAAGACCGCAAG